Molecule: ribosomal RNA, 834 nt
Filed under: Candidatus Phytoplasma solani
Lineage: Bacteria; Bacillati; Mycoplasmatota; Mollicutes; Acholeplasmatales; Acholeplasmataceae
Description: bacterial SSU rRNA
Rfam family: Bacterial small subunit ribosomal RNA
Source: RNAcentral
ACCACGAUGAAGUAUUUCGGUACGUAAAGUUCUUUUAUUAGGGAAGAAAAGAUGGUGGAAAAACCAUUAUGACGGUACCUAAUGAAUAAGCCCCGGCUAACUAUGUGCCAGCAGCCGCGGUAAUACAUAGGGGGCAAGCGUUAUCCGGAAUUAUUGGGCGUAAAGGGUGCGUAGGCGGUUAAAUAAGUUUAUGGUCUAAGUGCAACGCUCAACGUUGUGAUGCUAUAAAAACUGUUUAGCUAGAGUUGGAUAGAGGCAAGUGGAAUUCCGUGUGUAGUGGUAAAAUGCGUAAAUAUACGGAGGAACACCAGAAGCGAAGGCGGCUUGCUGGGUCUUAACUGACGCUGAGGCACGAAAGCGUGGGGAGCAAACAGGAUUAGAUACCCUGGUAGUCCACGCCCUAAACGAUGAGUACUAAACGUUGGAUAAAACCAGUGUUGAAGUUAACACAUUAAGUACUCCGCCUGAGUAGUACGUACGCAAGUAUGAAACUUAAAGGAAUUGACGGGACUCCGCACAAGCGGUGGAUCAUGUUGUUUAAUUCGAAGGUACCCGAAAAACCUCACCAGGUCUUGACAUGCUUUUGCAAAGCUGUAGAAAUACAGUGGAGGUUAUCAGAAGCACAGGUGGUGCAUGGUUGUCGUCAGCUCGUGUCGUGAGAUGUUGGGUUAAGUCCCGCAACGAGCGCAACCCUUGUUGUUAAUUGCCAUCAUUAAGUUGGGGACUUUAGCAAGACUGCCAAUGAUAAAUUGGAGGAAGGUGGGGACGACGUCAAAUCAUCAUGCCCCUUAUGACCUGGGCUACAAACGUGAUACAAUGGCUGUUACAAAGAAA